UUGUUUUUAAUAUUUUAAUUUCCUUCAAUACUUUCAUCUGUAACUGACGUAACAAAAACAGACUUUUGUGUUCUCUCCAAAAUAUCACAUUCAAUAAUAGAGAUAAAUUGUUGCAUAGCAUAUACUUUUAAAACAACAACUUGCUUGAACCUGACAAUUAACAAAAUAAAUUAAUAUGAUCACAUAAUCUUGUACAACUAUAAAAUGCAUUAUUAAGCUUCUUCAAGCAUGAUUUAUCUAUCAUAAAAAGAGUUUUAAUAAAUAGGAAUCUAGUAUAUACAAAUAAGAAAAGGAAUGUCAAGAUUAUGUACAAUAAAAAAGAAUGAAAAUAUAACAGUUCACAUAUAACUAACAUCUAGAAUAAAUCUAUGAACAAUAUGAGGACGAACAUCAUGAACAAGCACUGUUAACUGAAAUGGAGAUAUGGGUUUAUAUUUACGAAUGGUUUCAACCUCGAGUCUGACUAGAAAUUUUGUUGAUAUAUAAUAUGCUACAAUGGCUUAAAAUGAUUAUAAAUAAAAAGAUGUUUUUAAAAGUCAAUUAAAAAACAAAUCCUCUUUAAUAAAGCUAGCCAGAGCUAUAUUUGGCCAUUUUCAUCAACUGGUAUUUUUAGAUAUUUUCAAGUCACAAGGAAAUGGAGUUGUAUACUUGAUGGACCCAGAUCUUGGUAUAUCCAAUCAGAUUAGAUCCAAUGUGAUUUUUUUACUGUUACCAUGACCAAUAAAACUGAUCACCAUCAUAUUGUUAAAAUGCAAACAUCAUCAGACAAAAACAAACAAACAAAUUAAUCUUUUAAACACUUGUAUAAAAAGGGGGAGCAGUGGUAGGGGUGAACAUUUGAGACACAUAGAAUAAAGGCAAUUUUGUUUUUGAGACUGACUUUUUCAGCAAAACUAUCAAGCAAGCCUUAGGGGAUAAACUUUAGUGUGACAUUGCUGCACUGAUAACUGACAUCAUUGCCCAAUAUUUUAGAGUCUCUAGUCUUGUCCAUGAUCUUUUAAAUAUAUGGCAGUAAGAUCAAAGGUAAAAUGUACAAAUUAUAGAUAAAUCCAGUACCCAACCCUUCCAUGUUUUUUAAUAACAAAAAGAUACACUCUAACAUAAAUGUUGUAUUGUUGACAAGCAACAUACCUUCAGCUAUCAAGAUCAUACUAAUUCAAGAGAUAAUUAAGAUUUGACAACUUUCUGAUGCAUUAAAGACUGAGGGUUUUUGUUCUGCUGAUUGCAUUUGAAUUAUAGUUUCAGAUAGUUAAUUAUGACUCAAUCAGUAACCUUGUCGUAUAUUUCAUCUUAAUUUCUUGACCUCAUCAUAUAUUAAUGAAGCUUAAAAUGGUGACCUAUUUCAACGACUCUUCCCUAACACACAUUACAUAGUAAGUGGCUCCCCCAAAACCUUUCAUAUGACCUUGUGAGAAUAUCUAAUGUUGAUUUUAUAUAUCAAAUAUUAAAUAACAAUUGCAGACACAUUCUCUGCUACCAAAUAUACUCUUUUCAAUAAUUCAUAAUUCCACAAAGUGACAGUAAAUAUGUAUGUUAUAUAAAAUCAAUAUUCAAUAAUCCUCUAGAGUAAAAACAAACAUUAAAUAGAUGAAGAACACUUCCAGCAGAAAAAAAAAUAUAAGGAGGCCAUGCACAAUCUUUAUCUUAUUCUUAUUCUAUUUUGGUUAAGAACAAAAUGCCAAAUGCAGGUUGGAAAUGUUUAAAUUUUAAUUUCUUAAUUCAAGUAUGAAAAGAAGCUCUAAAUAUAAUAAAGCCACAACAUUCUCAUAAGGGUUGCUGGAUUUUUAUUUAUAAAAAGCACUAGAUUUUAAUCGCAAUCAAUUUCUAUUUUUUUCUGAACUUCAUAAUGGGACAGAAUUCUAGCACUUUGCUCUUCUUUUUUAUAAGCAUUUGUCUUUCUUAAUUUGGAAUAAAGAAAUCAAAAGUAGCAAAAACCAAUUUAGCUUUCAUUAAUAUCAUAUUAUAAUUCAACAUUAAGUACUUCAAUUAACUAGAUGUAAUUAUUAAUGUUUAUGAAUUCUUUUAGAAAAAGUCAUGCUCACAAAAUUUUAAUGAAAAAAUGAAAUAAUAUAAUAUUUCAUGUUAAAAUUAAUGAGAUUUUGAUGGAUUUCUGGAAGAUCAAGUAUAUUAUCUCCUUUAAGAUCAAUGAAAAUGCUUUUGUUGAAUACCUUAGCAAAUGUACUUUUAAAAUUGCAUGUAGAUUACAUAAAUGGUGCUUUUUUUUUAAGACUAAAAGUUCCUUAAAAU
This 2247-nucleotide long non-coding RNA is filed under the name Mytilus galloprovincialis (Mediterranean mussel). Lineage: Eukaryota; Metazoa; Mollusca; Bivalvia; Mytilida; Mytilidae. The record is from RNAcentral.